AACCAGCUCUUCAAGUGGUCGGGAUAAUUAUUGGGCUUAAAGUGUCCGUAGCCGGUUUAGUAAGUUCCUGGUAAAAUCGGGUAGCUUAACUAUCUAUAUGCUAGGAAUACUGCUAUACUAGAGGGCGGGAGAGGUCUGAGGUACUACAGGGGUAGGGUGAAUCUUAUAAUCCUUGUAGGACCACCAGUGGCGAAGGCGUCAGACUGGAACGCGCCUGACGGUGAGGGACGAAAGCCAGGGGAGCGAACCGGAUUAGAUAUCUGGGUAGUCCUGGCUGUAAACGAUGCAUACUAGGUGAUGGUACGGCCAUGAGCCGUGUCAGUGCCGUAGGGAAACCGUUAAGUGUGCCGCCUGGGAAGUACGGUCGCAAGGCUAAAACUUAAAGGAAUUGGCGGGGGAGCACCACAAGGGGUGAAGCCUGCGGUUC
RNAcentral lists this ribosomal RNA (427 nucleotides) under uncultured archaeon. RNAcentral's name for it is "bacterial SSU rRNA". It matches the Rfam family "Archaeal small subunit ribosomal RNA", at positions 474 to 903 of the family's 1478-position model. The record is from RNAcentral.